CCUGAAAGAACCUGCCUUUGUAGUGCUCACACAGAUUGUCUGAUAGAUGUAAAGAAGCAAGACGGCUGCGAAGUCGCGACACCUCGUGUCCCCUUCGUCUAGCGGUUAGGACUCCGCCCUUUCACGGCGGCAACAGGGGUUCGAAUCCCCUAGGGGACGCCACUUGCUGGCUGUGAGUGAAAGGCACAACCAACCGAUAUCUCAAAACUCAUCUUCGGGUGACGUUUGAGAUAUUUGCUCUUUAAAAAUCUGGAUCAAGCUGAAAAUUGAAACGACACACUGUUCAAGUGUGUUCGAGUCUCUCAAAUUUUCGCGACACGAUGAUGUUUCACGAAACAUCUUCGGGUUGUGA
RNAcentral lists this unclassified non-coding RNA (352 nucleotides) under Klebsiella oxytoca. RNAcentral describes it as "partial 16S-23S ribosomal RNA intergenic spacer". The stretch from base 240 to 345 matches the Rfam family "Salmonella enterica Typhi npcRNA 44". The record is from RNAcentral. Lineage: Bacteria; Pseudomonadati; Pseudomonadota; Gammaproteobacteria; Enterobacterales; Enterobacteriaceae.